RNAcentral lists this ribosomal RNA (253 nucleotides) under uncultured bacterium. Its description in RNAcentral is "partial 16S ribosomal RNA". It matches the Rfam family "Bacterial small subunit ribosomal RNA", at positions 524 to 776 of the family's 1533-position model. The record is from RNAcentral.
UACAGGGGGGGCAAGCGUUGUUCGGAAUUACUGGGCGUAAAGCGUGCGCAGGCGGUUUUGUAAGACAGGCGUGAAAUCCCCGGGCUCAACCUGGGAAUUGCGCUUGUGACUGCAAGGCUAGAGUGCGUCAGAGGGGGGUAGAAUUCCACGUGUAGCAGUGAAAUGCGUAGAGAUGUGGAGGAAUACCGAUGGCGAAGGCAGCCCCCUGGGACGUGACUGACGCUCAUGCACGAAAGCGUGGGGAGCAAACCGG